RNAcentral lists this ribosomal RNA (694 nucleotides) under uncultured bacterium. RNAcentral describes it as "bacterial SSU rRNA". It matches the Rfam family "Bacterial small subunit ribosomal RNA", at positions 818 to 1500 of the family's 1533-position model. The record is from RNAcentral.
AGNUGUGGGAGGUAUCGACCCCUUNCCGCGCCGUAGCUAACGCAUUAAAUGAGCCGCCUGGGGAGUACGNCCGCAAGGUUGAAACUCAAAGGAAUUGACCGGGGGCCCCGCACAAGCGGUGGAGCAUGUGGUUUAAUUCGACGCAACGCGAAGAACCUUACCUGGGCUUGAACUACUGGUAGUAAGUCUUUGGAAACAUCGACUGAUCCGCAAGGAAGCCAGCAGAGGUGCUGCAUGGUUGUCGUCAGCUCGUGUCGUGAGAUGUUGGGUUAAGUCCCGCAACGAGCGCAACCCCUAUCUCAUGUUGCUAAUCCCGCAAGGGAUGCACUUUUGAGAAACUGCCUUCGAUAAGAAGGAGGAAGGUGGGGACGACGUCAAAUCCUCAUGGCCCUUAUGUCCAGGGCUACACACGUGCUACAAUGGCCGGUACAACGGGAAGCAAUACCGCAAGGUGGAGCAAAANCCCUGAAAGCCGGCCCCAGUUCAGAUCGUGGGCUGCAACUCGCCCACGUGAAGGCGGAAUCGCUAGUAAUCGCGAAUCAGCAGGUCGCGGUGAAUACGUUCCCGGGCCUUGUACACACCGCCCGUCACACCACGAAAGCCCGCUGCAACAGAAAUCGGUGAUCUAACCCGCAAGGGAGGAAGCCGCUGAAGUUGUGGUUGGUGAUUGGGGUGAAGUCGUAANCAAGGUACC